CCCUCCUCCCUUUCCUCCAUAUUCUUUCUUUUCUCAUCCAUUUUUCUCCAUUUUGCUACCCAUCACCUUUUUCUUUUUCAUUUUUGCUUUCUUCCUCCACUAUAACCGACCCUAUCACCACCAAACACUGCACCUCUUAGCCACCAUAGCUCUUCCUCCUCGUUCUCUUCCCUGUCGCCGCCCAUCGUCGCCAUGACCACCACCGC
RNAcentral lists this long non-coding RNA (206 nucleotides) under Gossypium raimondii (Peruvian cotton). Its description in RNAcentral is "long non-coding RNA (GRAI_LNC009592)". Lineage: Eukaryota; Viridiplantae; Streptophyta; Magnoliopsida; Malvales; Malvaceae. The record is from RNAcentral.